CCUAGCCACAGUGUCUUUGGCCUCUGCAGCUCCAUUUUUCCUAUGAAAAUCUUUAUUGUCCUCUAAAGGUCAGCUCCAACUCCACCUCUCAUGGUGACGUCUUUCCUGCUUCUAGAAGUCGGUAAUAUUUGCUGGUGAUCUUCCUGACCCAAGGAUCGAACCUGGGUCUCCUGUGUUGCAGGCAGACUCUUUACUAUCAGAGCCACCAGGGAAGCCCAGAUGGUACUGAUGAACCUAAUAUCUGCAGAACAGGAACAGCGAUGCAAAGAAUUGGGUUUGAAUGAGAAAGAAUGUGAAGGACUACACCUGGUCCACCUUCUUUAUGAGAACAGCCUGCUGGGUCCUGGAGAAGACAGGAAGAUUUGGACCUCUGGGUGCUCUUUGCUUGAGUCCACACUGCAGAAUGUAUGGAUGUGAGAGUUGGACUAUAAAGAAAGCUGAGCGCUGAAGAAUUGAUGCUUUUGAACUGUG
This is a long non-coding RNA of Cervus elaphus (red deer), 471 nucleotides long. RefSeq lists it as uncharacterized. The record is from RefSeq and is a predicted model, not a curated record. Lineage: Eukaryota; Metazoa; Chordata; Mammalia; Artiodactyla; Cervidae. The transcript is spliced from 3 exons.